AAUGAACGUUGGCGGCGUGGAUUAGGCAUGCAAGUCGAGCGAGAACCCCGCAAGGGGGACAGCGGCAAACGGGGUAGUAAGGCGUCGGAACGUGCCCAGAGGACGGGAUAGCGGCGGGAAACUGCCGGUAAUACCCGAUGAUCUCGAGAGAGCAAAGGUGUGAUUCCGCCUUUGGAGCGGCCGACGUGGUAUUAGCUAGUUGGUGAGGUAAUGGCCCACCAAGGCUUUGAUGCCUAGGGGAUGUGAGAGCAUGAUCCCCACCAUUGGGACUGAGACACUGCCCAGACACCUACGGGAGGCAG
RNAcentral lists this ribosomal RNA (302 nucleotides) under uncultured Planctomycetota bacterium. RNAcentral describes it as "bacterial SSU rRNA". It matches the Rfam family "Bacterial small subunit ribosomal RNA", at positions 29 to 351 of the family's 1533-position model. Lineage: Bacteria; Pseudomonadati; Planctomycetota. The record is from RNAcentral.